RNAcentral lists this ribosomal RNA (465 nucleotides) under Vreelandella stevensii. RNAcentral's name for it is "partial 16S ribosomal RNA". It matches the Rfam family "Bacterial small subunit ribosomal RNA", at positions 338 to 795 of the family's 1533-position model. Lineage: Bacteria; Pseudomonadati; Pseudomonadota; Gammaproteobacteria; Oceanospirillales; Halomonadaceae. The record is from RNAcentral.
CCUACGGGUGGCUGCAGUGGGGAAUAUUGGACAAUGGGCGAAAGCCUGAUCCAGCCAUGCCGCGUGUGUGAAGAAGGCCUUCGGGUUGUAAAGCACUUUCAGUGGGGAAGAAAGCCUUGGGGCUAAUACCCUCGAGGAAGGACAUCACCCACAGAAGAAGCACCGGCUAACUCCGUGCCAGCAGCCGCGGUAAUACGGAGGGUGCGAGCGUUAAUCGGAAUUACUGGGCGUAAAGCGCGCGUAGGCGGUCUGAUAAGCCGGUUGUGAAAGCCCCGGGCUCAACCCGGGAACGGCAUCCGGAACUGUCAGGCUAGAGUGCAGGAGAGGAAGGUAGAAUUCCCGGUGUAGCGGUGAAAUGCGUAGAGAUCGGGAGGAAUACCAGUGGCGAAGGCGGCCUUCUGGACUGACACUGACGCUGAGGUGCGAAAGCGUGGGUAGCAAACAGGAUUAGAUACCCUGGUAGUC